AUCAUUUUCUCUUCUCUCACAUCACUCUCCACCACCCGUUCUGCUCACAGAUCACCGUCGUCAGGAUAUACGAUGAUGUAUAUACAGAUCGCGGGUGUGGAUUCGUAUCACUCUCCAUACACUCGUAGCCACCAUUUUCUCCCACUCUUCAUCUUCUCUCAUCCCGCGAAUCGCCACCACUCACGGUGUCGCCGCUUGCAGUUGAGGCAAUCUGUAGAUGUGAAGAUGUGGUUAGAAAAUCUGUAACGUCGAUCUGCCUGAAUGUGUAGAUGGGAAGAUGUGGUUGCAACGCUGCUCUGCCCGAAUCCGCGAUGCCACCACGAUUUUGUUGGGAGUUUUUUUUAUUGGAUCUACUGUGUAGUGGUAGGCGGCGGUGGUGGUGGUUGUGGCGGGUUGUUUGUGUGUGGGAUAACAUGGGUGAAUUUGGUGGUUGAUUUUUUGGGAAGUUUUUUUUUUAAUCGAUCUACUGUGCGGCGAUCGAGGGCAGUGGUGGUGGCGGCGAUGAUUUGGGGCAGAUGCGAUGGUUGUGAUGGUUUGCGAUGCUGUGGUUGUGAUGGUUUUGGUUGCAUAUCUGAUGGCUUGGUGGUGGUGGAGGAUCUGGUGUUUUGGUGGUGUUUGGAGGUGGCUAAUCUGGUGGUUAUGGUGAUGGCGGUGGAUCUGGCAGUUUCGAUGCGGUGGUGGUACAGGUGAUUGAUGGCGGUUGCAAUGGUUUUGGUUGUUAAGUGGUGGUGGUGGUUUUGGCGCCUAUGAUGGAGGUGGUGCUGUUGGAGGCAGUGAAGGUAGUAAGUGUUGGUGGCGGUCACCGAUGGUGGUCACAGAUUAUUUAGUUGAUUUGUGAGCAUUAAAUUGAUUAAUCUGUGACCAUUAAAUAAUAUGUGACCAAUGAAAAAGUUAAAUUAUGACAAAAAAUAAUGCGUGAUUGAAAAAAUAUUAAUUUUGUGACUAUUUAAUUAGUUGUGACCUAUGAAAUUUGUUAUCUGUGGUCGAUAAAUAAAUUGUGACGUAUUAAUUUUUGAUCUGUGACCAAUGAAAAACCAUGACUCAUAAAAUUAUUGAAUCGUGAUCGUAAAAUAAUUCGCG
RNAcentral lists this long non-coding RNA (1080 nucleotides) under Olea europaea subsp. europaea. Lineage: Eukaryota; Viridiplantae; Streptophyta; Magnoliopsida; Lamiales; Oleaceae. The record is from RNAcentral.